ACUCGUCCACGUCAUUCGGGAAUGAUCGCGAUAAUGAAUGAAUGAGUGUAACUAAAGCUUAUUCUGGUGUCUUCCAGUGAACGAUAGAGAAAGAUAUUCCAAAUGGAGUUAAGAUUCAAGUACAAAUAACCCGAAACAGAUCAGUGCUGUAGAAUAUAUAUUUGGUAUGAGUAUAAAUAAAAACAGAGAUGAUCUGAUGAUUACCACUUGCCUGUUCAAUCUCCCACAUAAUUCGAAGAUCUUACUGGGUGCGAGGCACUCACGAAGGAAAGACAUGUUCAUUGGACCUUUGGGUAUUAUCGGUCUCUAAAAUCUUUUACACUACCACACACAAGUGUCGUCAUUUAUAUGAAUUAAAUUGGAACUUCUUGAAGUAUACGGUUUUCUAGUACUAGGUAGCUAAACACUUGUAGACCAAAUCCGAUAACUUCUAAAAACUUUGUUAGAAGUUCCCUCGGAGGUUAAAAUCAUACUUACAGAUACAAAAGUCUUGUCCAAUGGAACAUCAUAAAUGACACAGGCAUCAUGACAACAUUUCACAGAGACUUAUCAAAAGGAGGUGCAGAGCUGGCAAUUAUUCUCUUGUAACGAAGGCUUAACUAAAUAUGAAACUACUCCUGAGAAGAGGAAAAUAGGAAAUGGAGUUAAAGAAAGAAUUUUUUUCUUGUAAUUAUUUAAUUCAAUAACUUGAUAAAUUAGAAUGUGUAAUUUUCUAAUUUAUAGGACACAUAUAGUUUACAAGUGCAACUAAUCAACAUAUUUAUUAGCAUUUAAAAAUAUCAUUGCAACUAAUGCAAGGAACUAAGUUAUUAAGAAUAAGUUUCUUAUAAUAAUAAUAAUAACUCUAACAAA
Long non-coding RNA from Anthonomus grandis grandis, 852 nucleotides. RefSeq lists it as uncharacterized. Lineage: Eukaryota; Metazoa; Arthropoda; Insecta; Coleoptera; Curculionidae. The transcript has 2 exons. The record is from RefSeq and is a predicted model, not a curated record.